GCCAGGCGUGGUGGCUCACGCCUGUAAUCCCAGUACUUUCGGAGGCCGAGGCGGGUGGAUCACCUGAGGUCAGGAGUUCCAGACCAGCCUGGUCAACAUGGUGAAAACCCGUCUCUA
Molecule: small RNA, 117 nt
Filed under: Pongo abelii (Sumatran orangutan)
Lineage: Eukaryota; Metazoa; Chordata; Mammalia; Primates; Hominidae
Description: Metazoan signal recognition particle RNA (ENSPPYG00000039056.1)
Rfam family: Metazoan signal recognition particle RNA
About the family: The signal recognition particle (SRP) is a universally conserved ribonucleoprotein. It is involved in the co-translational targeting of proteins to membranes.
Source: Rfam by way of RNAcentral